This 71-nucleotide transfer RNA is filed under the name Marmota marmota marmota (Alpine marmot). It matches the Rfam family "tRNA". From Rfam's summary of the family: Transfer RNA (tRNA) molecules are approximately 80 nucleotides in length. RNAcentral also lists the same sequence under 1 other name. Lineage: Eukaryota; Metazoa; Chordata; Mammalia; Rodentia; Sciuridae. The record is from Rfam by way of RNAcentral.
GCGGUUGUGGCUCAGUGGUAGAGCGCUUGCCUAGAAUGCAUGAGGCACUGAGUUUGAUCCUUAGAACCACA